GAAGUACUCUCUCCGUCCAAAAAUACCUGUCAUCAAAAUGGAUAAAAAGGGAUGUAUCUAAAACUAAAAUACGUCUAGAUAUAUUCCCUUUUAUUCAAUUUGAUGGCAAGUAUUUCUGGACGGAGGGAGUACCAG
Triticum aestivum (bread wheat) is the source of this 135-nucleotide non-coding RNA. The record is from Rfam. NCBI's taxonomy places the organism in Eukaryota, Viridiplantae, Streptophyta, Magnoliopsida, Poales, Poaceae.